GCCUAUCUUUUCUUGUUCUUUGUGCUCAUUACUUGCUUACUUCUUAUUUGUGUUUGAUUUUAUUUCUAUUGCAAGUUGAUACACUUCACUCUUCAUCUUGGCACAUUGCUUAAGUAGUUCAAUCUUUAAAAUUUCAAAAAGACCCAAUUCAUCCCUCUCUUGGACUCCAUAUCUGGAUAAUAAGUGAUAUCAGAGCCCGGGUAUCUAGUUCUUGCUUGAUUUAACCAUCAAGAGCUAAAAAUCCAUGGUAGUCCAAUUUGGCACAUCCCUAUUCGAGGGACAAUCC
Molecule: long non-coding RNA, 286 nt
Filed under: Elaeis guineensis (African oil palm)
Lineage: Eukaryota; Viridiplantae; Streptophyta; Magnoliopsida; Arecales; Arecaceae
Description: long non-coding RNA (EGUI_LNC071419)
Source: RNAcentral